RNAcentral lists this ribosomal RNA (301 nucleotides) under uncultured bacterium. RNAcentral's name for it is "partial 16S ribosomal RNA". It matches the Rfam family "Bacterial small subunit ribosomal RNA", at positions 509 to 807 of the family's 1533-position model. The record is from RNAcentral.
CAGCAGCCACGGUAAUACAGAGGGUGCGAGCGUUAAUCGGAAUUACUGGGCGUAAAGCGUGCGCAGGCGGUUCGUUAAGACAGAUGUGAAAUCCCCGGGCUUAACCUGGGAACUGCAUUUGUGACUGACGGGCUAGAGUAUGGCAGAGGGGGGUAGAAUUCCACGUGUAGCAGUGAAAUGCGUAGAGAUGUGGAGGAAUACCGAUGGCGAAGGCAGCCCCCUGGGCCAAUACUGACGCUCAUGCACGAAAGCGUGGGGAGCAAACAGGAUUAGAUACCCCGGUAGUCCCUGUCUCUUAUAC